RNAcentral lists this transfer RNA (81 nucleotides) under Spizellomyces punctatus DAOM BR117. It matches the Rfam family "tRNA". From Rfam's summary of the family: Transfer RNA (tRNA) molecules are approximately 80 nucleotides in length. Their secondary structure includes four short double-helical elements and three loops (D, anti-codon, and T loops). Further hydrogen bonds mediate the characteristic L-shaped molecular structure. tRNAs have two regions of fundamental functional importance: the anti-codon, which is responsible for specific mRNA codon recognition, and the 3' end, to which the tRNAs corresponding amino acid is attached (by aminoacyl-tRNA synthetases). tRNAs cope with the degeneracy of the genetic code in two manners: having more than one tRNA (with a specific anti-codon) for a particular amino acid; and 'wobble' base-pairing, i.e. permitting non-standard base-pairing at the 3rd anti-codon position. The record is from Rfam by way of RNAcentral. Lineage: Eukaryota; Fungi; Chytridiomycota; Chytridiomycetes; Spizellomycetales; Spizellomycetaceae.
GCCAAGGUAGUAUAGUGGUAGUACAUCGCGUUGUGGAAACACAGAACCGCGUCGACCCGAGUUCGAUUCUCGGCCUUGGCA